Molecule: ribosomal RNA, 432 nt
Filed under: Triticum aestivum (bread wheat)
Lineage: Eukaryota; Viridiplantae; Streptophyta; Magnoliopsida; Poales; Poaceae
Description: partial small subunit ribosomal RNA
Source: RNAcentral
AUGUGGUCGCUGCCGCCUCUGCCGGAGCAGCGAACGUUGUGCUUGUCGCUAGACCAGCGGGUGCUGGGUGAGCCGCAUCGCUUGACUGGGUCAACUCCAAUGGCCACGGCGUCGGAGGCGAUGCGGCGCCGGACGAUCGGCCCGUGUGGCGGGCGGCGGUGCUCGCAGUGGCAAAGGACAUGCGUGUGCAAGCCCCCCCUCCCCUUGCCCCGGGUCUGGCACUCUCCCACGAGGCCACGACCCCCUCCCCUCCUCCUCGUCGUGCCUCGAUCUGGCCAGAUCCAUCCAAUCCACACACGGAUCUGGCCUAACCAUCCUGCGGCUGCGGCGGCAGGUCACCAGGACGGCGGUGGGAACAGACCUCGACGGCGGCGGGUACCUAGAAUCGUUGUUGCACCAGCCGCGCGCGUCACAACGGAGGGCGGGGCUUGA